UGGAUUGGUCAAGGGAAGCGU
RNAcentral lists this microRNA (21 nucleotides) under Arabidopsis thaliana (thale cress). RNAcentral's name for it is "ath-miR3440b-3p". Lineage: Eukaryota; Viridiplantae; Streptophyta; Magnoliopsida; Brassicales; Brassicaceae. The record is from miRBase by way of RNAcentral.